RNAcentral lists this long non-coding RNA (1215 nucleotides) under Serinus canaria (Common canary). RNAcentral's name for it is "lncRNA (ENSSCAG00000001476.1)". Lineage: Eukaryota; Metazoa; Chordata; Aves; Passeriformes; Fringillidae. The record is from RNAcentral.
CCAAAAUUCACCCCAAAUCCAUCCCCAAAACCAUCCCAAAAUCACCUCAAAAUCCAUCCCAAACUCACCCCCAAAUUCCAUCUCAAAACCACCCCAAAAUCACCUCAAAAUUCACCCCAAACUCAACCCAAAUCCAUCCCAAAUCCACCCCAAAAUCCACCCCAGAAUCACCUCAAAAUCCAUCCCAAAUUCACCCCAAAUCCACCCCCAAAUUCCAUCUCAAAAAUCCCCCCAAAAUCCACCCCAAAUCCACCAAAAAUCCAUCCCAAAAUCCAUCCCAAAUCCACUCCCAAAAUCCCUCCCAAACUCACCCCAAACUCACCCCAAAUGCAUCCCAAAAUCCCCCCCAAAACUACCCCAAAUCACCCCAAAAUCCAAACGAAAUCCACCCCAAAUCCACCCCUAAACUCCAUCCCAAAUCCACCCCAAAAUCCAUCCCAAAAUCCACCCCUAAACUCCAUCCCGAAUCCACCCCUGAAAUCCGUCCCAAAUCCACCCCUAAAUCACCCCAAAUUCACCCCAAAAUUCAAACGAAAUCCACCCCAAAAUCCACCCCAAAUCCACCCCUAAGCUAUCCAAAAUCACCCCAAAAUUCAAACGAAAUCCACCCCAAAUUCGCCCCCAAAAUCCAUCCCAAAUCCACCCCAAAAAUCCACCAAAAAUCCCCCCAAAAUAACCCCAAAUUCACCCCAAAAUCCAUCCCCAAAUCCACCCUGAAAUACAUCCCAAAAUCACCCCAAGAUCCAUCCCAAAAUCCACCCCAAAUCCACCCCCUAAAUCACCCCAAAUCACCCCGAAAUUCCACCACAAAUCCAUCCCAAAAUCCACCCCAAAACUACCCAAAAUCACCCCAAAAUUCAAAUGAAAUCCAUCCCAAAUUCACUCCCCAAACCCCCCACGAAAUUCACCCCAAAUCCACCCCAAAAUACCCCAAAAUCCAUCUAAAAUCCAUCCCCAAAAUCCAUCCCAAAUCCACCCCAAAUCCACCCCCAAAAUCCAUCCCAAAUCCACCCCCGAAAUCCAUCCCAAAUCCACCCCUAAAUCACNNNNNNNNNNNNNNNNNNNNCACCCCAAAAUUACCCAAAAUCACCCCCAAAACCACCCCAAAAUCCACCAAAAAUCCCCCUCAAAAUCACCCCAAAAUUACCCAAAAUCCCCUAAAUCCGACCCCAAAUCCAUGGGGGACAUCCUUGAGGAACAUCUUGAGGAACCCCG